CCUACGGGUGGCAGCAGUAGGGAAUCUUCGGCAAUGGACGAAAGUCUGACCGAGCAACGCCGCGUGAGUGAAGAAGGUUUUCGGAUCGUAAAACUCUGUUGUUAGAGAAGAACAAGUAGGAGAGUAACUGCUCUUACCUUGACAGUAUCUAACCAGAAAGCCACGGCUAACUACGUGCCAGCAGCCGCGGUAAUACGUAGGUGGCAAGCGUUGUCCGGAUUUAUUGGGCGUAAAGCGAGCGCAGGCGGUCUUUUAAGUCUGAUGUGAAAGCCCUCGGCUCAACCGAGGAAGGUCAUUGGAAACUGGAGGACUUGAGUGCAGAAGAGGAGAGUGGAAUUCCAUGUGUAGCGGUGAAAUGCGUAGAUAUAUGGAGGAACACCGGUGGCGAAAGCGGCUCUCUGGCCUGUAACUGACACUGAGGCUCGAAAGCGUGGGGAGCAAACAGGAUUAGAUACCCCUGUAGUC
Molecule: ribosomal RNA, 465 nt
Filed under: uncultured bacterium
Lineage: Bacteria
Description: bacterial SSU rRNA
Rfam family: Bacterial small subunit ribosomal RNA
Source: RNAcentral